RNAcentral lists this ribosomal RNA (700 nucleotides) under uncultured Actinomycetes bacterium. RNAcentral describes it as "bacterial SSU rRNA". It matches the Rfam family "Bacterial small subunit ribosomal RNA", at positions 74 to 790 of the family's 1533-position model. Lineage: Bacteria; Bacillati; Actinomycetota; Actinomycetes. The record is from RNAcentral.
GCACCUUCGGGUGUGAAUUAGCGGCGAACGGGUGAGGAACACGUGAGAAAUCUGCCUUCAACACUGGGAUAACUCCGUGAAAACGGGGCUAAUACCGGAUAUGAGAUCUACAGGCAUCUGUGGAUCUGGAAAGUUUUUCGGUUGAAGAUGAUCUCGCGGCCUAUCAGCUUGUUGGUGAGGUAAUGGCUCACCAAGGCGACGACGGGUAGCCGGCCUGAGAGGGCGACCGGCCACACUGGGACUGAGACACGGCCCAGACUCCUACGGGAGGCAGCAGUGGGGAAUAUUGGGCAAUGGAGGAAACUCUGACCCAGCGACGCCGCGUGCGGGAUGAAGGCCUUCGGGUUGUAAACCGCUUUCAGCAGGGAAGAAGCGAAAGUGACGGUACCUGCAGAAGAAGCACCGGCUAACUAUGUGCCAGCAGCCGCGGUAAUACAUAGGGUGCAAGCGUUGUCCGGAAUUAUUGGGCGUAAAGAGCUCGUAGGUGGUUCGUCACGUCGGAUGUGAAACUCUGGGGCUUAACCCCAGACCUGCAUUCGAUACGGGCGAGCUUGAGUAUGGUAGGGGAGUCUGGAAUUCCUGGUGUAGCGGUGGAAUGCGCAGAUAUCAGGAGGAACACCAAUGGCGAAGGCAGGACUCUGGGCCAUUACUGACACUGAGGAGCGAAAGCGUGGGGAGCGAACAGGAUUAGAUACCCUGG